This 253-nucleotide ribosomal RNA is filed under the name uncultured bacterium. RNAcentral's name for it is "partial 16S ribosomal RNA". It matches the Rfam family "Bacterial small subunit ribosomal RNA", at positions 524 to 776 of the family's 1533-position model. The record is from RNAcentral.
GACAGAGGGGGCAAGCGUUGCUCGGAAUCACUGGGCGUAAAGGGUGCGUAGGCGGGUCUUUAAGUCAGGGGUGAAAUCCUGGAGCUCAACUCCAGAACUGCCUUUGAUACUGAAGAUCUUGAGUUCGGGAGAGGUGAGUGGAACUGCGAGUGUAGAGGUGAAAUUCGUAGAUAUUCGCAAGAACACCAGUGGCGAAGGCGGCUCACUGGCCCGAUACUGACGCUGAGGCACGAAAGCGUGGGGAGCAAACAGG